GGACAGCACGUGCCGCGGGUCCACCGACGGCCGCAGCACCGGCGGGUCGACGAACGUGUUGAUCGCCUCCUCCAGCGCGUUGCAGAACGCCGCCUGCAGCGAGGUGGAAGGCCGGCGGCGAGGCCUGGACGACCGAGGCGCCUGCCGCGGCGCAGCGGACGCCCUGCUCGCUCUCGCGGUAGCCACCCUUGUACCGGUCGCAUUGUUUACCGACCUGUCCACCAGGUGCUCUUCCGUCUCUUGUUGCUCGACCGGCUUGGGCGGCGAGGUGAGCACGGUGGCGGUGGCGGCAGCCGACGGCGGCGGAGGCGACGUGCUCUUCUUCCUUCUGUAGCUGGGGUUCGGUGCAGCAGCAGAAGACGCGGCAGGCGAGAUGUAGGAGAGCCUCCUCGAUCUCGGAGCAUGGGCAGCAUUGGCUUUGGCGGGGUAGAGGUCAGCCAUGCUGAAGUUGGAGGUGACAAGUGCUCCCUCCAUUUUCUGCAGUCUGGAGUCUGCAGAUCAAUGGUUCUUUGGAUUACUAACAAUUUUUGUGUUGGAACCCAGGUGAGUAGCAGCAAAUGCCGACACCGGUUCGCACACUACUGCCUUUUGCUGCUUGUAUGGCAUGGGUAUAUAUAGCCUUGGUAAAAGGCAAACUUACCCGGUGGAGAUGUUUAUUUGGUGAAAAUUCAAAGAUC
Molecule: long non-coding RNA, 677 nt
Filed under: Hordeum vulgare
Lineage: Eukaryota; Viridiplantae; Streptophyta; Magnoliopsida; Poales; Poaceae
Description: long non-coding RNA (HVUL_LNC016540)
Source: RNAcentral